This 468-nucleotide ribosomal RNA is filed under the name uncultured bacterium. RNAcentral's name for it is "bacterial SSU rRNA". It matches the Rfam family "Bacterial small subunit ribosomal RNA", at positions 30 to 524 of the family's 1533-position model. The record is from RNAcentral.
AUUGAACGCUGGCGGCAGGCCUAACACAUGCAAGUCGAGCGGGGGUAGCAAUACCCUAGCGGCGAACGGGUGAGGAAUGCUUGGGAAUCUGCCUGGUAGUGGGGGGAUAACGUUCCGAAAGGAACGCUAAUACCGCAUACGUCCUACGGGAGAAAGGGGGGGAUCUUCGGACCUCUCGCUAUCAGAUGAGCCCAAGCGGGAUUAGCUAGUUGGUGGGGUAAAGGCCCACCAAGGCGACGAUCCCUAGCUGGUCUGAGAGGAUGAUCAGCCACACUGGGACUGAGAUACGGCCCAGACUCCUACGGGAGGCAGCAGUGGGGAAUAUUGGACAAUGGGGGGCAACCCUGAUCCAGCAAUGCCGCGUGAGUGAUGAAGGCCUUAGGGUUGUAAAGCUCUUUUGCCAGGGAAGAUGAUGACUGUACCUGGAGAAUAAGCCCCGGCUAACUUCGUGCCAGCAGCCGCGGUAAU